This 816-nucleotide ribosomal RNA is filed under the name Starmerella khaoyaiensis. RNAcentral's name for it is "LSU rRNA". It matches the Rfam family "Eukaryotic large subunit ribosomal RNA", at positions 38 to 968 of the family's 3401-position model. Lineage: Eukaryota; Fungi; Ascomycota; Dipodascomycetes; Dipodascales; Trichomonascaceae. The record is from RNAcentral.
GCAUAUCUAUUUAGCGGAGGAAAAGAAACCAACAGGGAUUGCCUCAGUAACGGCGAGUGAACAGGCAAAAGCUCAGAUUUGAAAGCCUUUCGGGGCAUUGUAUUCUGAAGCCAGUGUUCUGAGAACCGAUGUUUAAGUCUUCUGGAAAGGAGCGCCAUGGAGGGUGAUAGCCCCGUAAGACAUUGACCUCAUUGUAGAACUCUGGCGUGGAGUCGAGUUGUUUGGGAAUGCAGCUCAAAAGGGUGGUAUGCUCCAUCUAAAGCUAAAUAUCUGCGAGAGACCGAUAGCGAACAAGUACUGUGAAGGAAAGAUGAAAAGAACUUUGAAAAGAGAGUGAAAUAGUACGUGAAAUUGUUGAAAUGGAAGGGUAGGCCGCUAACCAUGUAGAACCGUGUUUGGGGGGAGGAUAAAAGCCAAAGAAUGUGGCUCUUCGGAGUGUUAUAGCUUUGGUCAAUACUCCCAUCCGGGCGCGAGGAUCUCAGGUUCUACUAAAUGGUGGUCUACCACCCGUCUUGAAACACGGACCAAGGAGUCUAUUGCCUGCGCGAGUAUUUGGGUGGCAAACCCAUAUGCGAAGUGAAAGCGAGUGGUUCCAACCUUCGGGGGCAGAAUCAGCCGACCGUUUGAAGAAACGGAUUGAGUGGAGCGUGGGUGAUGGGACCCGAAAGAUGGUGAACUAUGCCUGAAUAGGGUGAAGCCAGAGGAAACUCUGGUGGAGGCUCGUAGCGGUUCUGACGUGCAAAUCGAUCGUCAAAUUUGGGUAUAGGGGCGAAAGACUAAUCGAACCAUCUAGUAGCUAGGAUACCUGCCGAAGUU